RNAcentral lists this long non-coding RNA (199 nucleotides) under Elaeis guineensis (African oil palm). RNAcentral describes it as "long non-coding RNA (EGUI_LNC022888)". The record is from RNAcentral. Lineage: Eukaryota; Viridiplantae; Streptophyta; Magnoliopsida; Arecales; Arecaceae.
AUCGGACAGAUUUUUUCUUCAACUGGUAUCAGAGCCAGACUGAUAGAUUGAUGUAUAAUUAAUUUUUUUUGAUUUGUAUAUAUAUGAUAUAUAAUCAAAUUUUUAUGGUAGAUAAUAAAUUUGAUUUAAGCCUAUUAAUAUAAAAUUUAUGAUGGGUUUUGACUAGAUUUUAAUAACCUAAUCAAUGGUUCAUUGAAGG